This 517-nucleotide ribosomal RNA is filed under the name uncultured bacterium. RNAcentral describes it as "bacterial SSU rRNA". It matches the Rfam family "Bacterial small subunit ribosomal RNA", at positions 501 to 1017 of the family's 1533-position model. The record is from RNAcentral.
CUACGUGCCAGCAGCCGCGGUAAUACGUAGGGUGCGAGCGUUAAUCGGAAUUACUGGGCGUAAAGCGAGCGCAGACGGUUACUUAAGCAGGAUGUGAAAUCCCCGGGCUCAACCUGGGAACUGCGUUCUGAACUGGGUGACUAGAGUGUGUCAGAGGGAGGUAGAAUUCCACGUGUAGCAGUGAAAUGCGUAGAGAUGUGGAGGAAUACCGAUGGCGAAGGCAGCCUCCUGGGAUAACACUGACGUUCAUGCUCGAAAGCGUGGGUAGCAAACAGGAUUAGAUACCCUGGUAGUCCACGCCCUAAACGAUGUCAAUUAGCUGUUGGGCAACUUGAUUGCUUAGUAGCGUAGCUAACGCGUGAAAUUGACCGCCUGGGGAGUACGGUCGCAAGAUUAAAACUCAAAGGAAUUGACGGGGACCCGCACAAGCGGUGGAGCAUGUGGUUCAAUUCGAAGCAACGCGAAGAACCUUACCAAGUCUUGACAUCCUUUGACCACUCUAGAGAUAGAGCUUUCC